Molecule: ribosomal RNA, 264 nt
Filed under: uncultured bacterium
Lineage: Bacteria
Description: partial 16S ribosomal RNA
Rfam family: Bacterial small subunit ribosomal RNA
Source: RNAcentral
UACGGAGGGAGCUAGCGUUGUUCGGAAUUACUGGGCGUAAAGCGCACGUAGGCGGCUUUGUAAGUUAGAGGUGAAAGCCUGGAGCUCAACUCCAGAAUUGCCUUUAAGACUGCAUCGCUUGAAUCCAGGAGAGGUGAGUGGAAUUCCGAGUGUAGAGGUGAAAUUCGUAGAUAUUCGGAAGAACACCAGUGGCGAAGGCGGCUCACUGGACUGGUAUUGACGCUGAGGUGCGAAAGCGUGGGGAGCAAACAGGAUUAAGAAACC